Molecule: ribosomal RNA, 494 nt
Filed under: uncultured bacterium
Lineage: Bacteria
Description: partial 16S ribosomal RNA
Rfam family: Bacterial small subunit ribosomal RNA
Source: RNAcentral
GACGAACGCUGGCGGCGUGCUUAACACAUGCAAGUCGAACGGUGAAGCGCCUUCCUUUUUGGUGAGUGUGGAUGAGUGGCGAACGGGUGAGUAACACGUGAGUAACCUGCCCCCUUCUUCUGGAUAACCGCAUGAAAGUGUGGCUAAUACGGGAUAUUCUGGUUCUGUCGCAUGAUGGGUUUGGGAAAGAUAUUGUUUCGGUGGGGGAUGGGCUCGCGGCCUAUCAGCUUGUUGGUGGGGUGAUGGCCUACCAGGGCGGUGACGGGUAGCCGGCCUGAGAGGGUGGACGGUCACACUGGGACUGAGACACGGCCCGGACUCCUACGGGAGGCAGCAGUGGGGAAUAUUGCACAAUGGGCGCAAGCCUGAUGCAGCGACGCCGCGUGAGGGAUGGAGGCCUUCGGGUUGUGAACCUCUUUCGCCAGUGAAGCAGGCCUGCCUCGUUUGUGGGUGGGUUGACGGUAGCUGGAUAAGAAGCGCCGGCUAACUACGUG